AUGAAUGAUGAUGAUGUACAUUGGCGGUUCACGGGUUUUUAUGGUCAUCCGGUUUGGAGUGAUCGUAAGUUAUCGUGGGAUAAUAUUAGGAAUUUACAUAGUCUGGUUCAUCAUCCCUGGGUGAUCUUAGAGGAUUUUAAUGAAAUUUUACUGUCAUCAGAAAAAGAGGGCGGAAAUGUAAGACCAAAUGCUAUGAUGAUAGAUUUUCGUAACUGUUUAGGGGAGUGUGGCCUCGAGGAUAUGGGUUGUAUUGGUGACCCCUUCACUUGGAAGAGAGGCGAUACUAGAGAUAGGCUGGACCGCGCGGUGUGCAAUGUGGAAUGGGCGAAUAAAUUCCCUCGGGCCGCGAUAAUUAAUGAGGAACAUGUUCAUUCUGAUCACCGUCCACUCAUACUGGAUACGGAAUAUUUUGAUGGA
Molecule: ribosomal RNA, 417 nt
Filed under: Triticum aestivum (bread wheat)
Lineage: Eukaryota; Viridiplantae; Streptophyta; Magnoliopsida; Poales; Poaceae
Description: partial small subunit ribosomal RNA
Source: RNAcentral